RNAcentral lists this long non-coding RNA (4369 nucleotides) under Canis lupus familiaris (dog). RNAcentral describes it as "lncRNA (ENSCAFG00030013625.1)". Lineage: Eukaryota; Metazoa; Chordata; Mammalia; Carnivora; Canidae. The record is from RNAcentral.
AUGGAGGAGAGAGAAUGUGCAUUUUUCCAUUCCACUAAAAAGCAGACAACAGAAGAAGAAAUGUAUUUAUCUCUCCCUGCAGAGGAUGUGCCACCCACUGUCCUCUCACCCAAGGAGGUGUGUCUGGGUGCUCUGGAGACUCUUCUGCUGCACCUCUUCCCUGCCACCAACCGUCCUUCCUCCUGCUACCAGAGCCGUGGCUCAGCUCUGCUUCAGGAGAUGGGACUUGUGCUCUGGGCAUCUGAGGACCUGCCAAGUGAGGUAAGAGUGGGCUGGGAAGCGGUAGCCCUCUGAUAGCCUUGGCAAAGUGCUAAUAAGCUAAAAGGAGGAAUGGAUGAUGGUGGACACAUAGCAGGUCUGUUAGUUUGUCAAAAGUCAUAGGAACCCGGUGUUAUCUGCGGAAGGGUGGGGUCAGGUGCAAAGCAGGCAUAUUGAGUGGGAUCAGAACUAGAAAACUGCUGGUAGAAUAAGGAACAUAGUAGUCAUUUUAGGGCUAUUGCUACCUUUUCUUGCUGUGAGAUAUACUUCUUAGCAAGAAGUGAAACCAGUGAAAUCCAUUGAAAUAUAUUUGUAGAAGCCAUCAGUAGACAUUUAUGUUGAGUACUGCCCACAAUAUGCUCCAGCAAGCUUUGGAGGGGAGAACAGUGUUUUGUUUUUAUUAGUUUUUUAAAUCCCUUCCAAACCCUAUCAGUGGUGAUUAGCACAUGACCUGUAGUUCAUUGUUAAUGUAGGCAGGGCAUCUUCUGGAGACGCUUGGCCAUUUGACAAACAUCUGUGGAAUGCCCACUGUCCCCUAUAUUCCUGCCAGCAGACUUGCUAGAGUUGGAGGAUACAAAGUUCCUGUACCCAAGAAACUGACAUUCUAGAGACAGAGGCAGAUGCAGGCACCCGGCUAACACUAACGGAGUGCCUACUGUGUUCCUGCACCUGUCAGCUCUGGGGAUAUAACAGUAUGACCUGGUCCCUGCCCUUAAAGAUGUAAUAGGCUGUGAGGGUGGGACAGUGGGAAGGAAAUGUCAGGUGGACAGGCAGUUGCAGUCUGGUGUGGGUGAAUGAUCCAGGUGUGAGCAGGAAUUAUCCAAGUGACUAGGAGGGGGUCGUGUGUGUGUUUUUGUUGCUGAGGGUGAGGAGAAGCUAUUUCAGGUGAAGAAGGUGCACUUUGUACAAGAAAGGACAUGGAGCCCCACAGAGCUGAGUGAGCUCGGUGUUGCUGUAGGGUAGGGGACAGGCUGGGAGGCCUUGAUAGGAAGUGAAAUUUCAAGCAAGUUGAGACUGGAUCUUGCUAAAACUUGUUUGUCGAGCUCACAACCUGAAUUUCAUUCUGAAGGCAAUGGGAAACCAGAGAGGUAUUUUAAAAAUGGAUUGAAUCCAUUACUCCUACAACUAUCUAUUGAAUAUUAAUUAUGUAUCCAUUUGCUGCUGGACUAGAUACUGGAAAUCUGAUGAUGUCUAAAACAAUUUUCGUCUAUGUGGGGUUUAUGAUCUAAUAUGAGAGAGACAAAUUAAACUAAUUUUUUACAAGGAGAAUGUAUUAAGGUAGUGUUUAUGUAAUUAAAGCAUAAUUAAAAUCAUAACAUACUCCACAGUUACCCAAGAUACAUAUAAAGCUAUUAAAUAUGACAUGUGCUGUGAAGGGAGCUCCAAGUUGGCUGGUGGUAAAAUGCCAAAUAAUGGCUAAUAAUAAUAAUCACAGACAUUUGGUAAGUGAUCAUUAUGCAGCUGUCAUCCUGCUUCAUGUAGAUUAUCUCAUUUAAUCUUCAAGGCAAUCAGAUGAAUGAGUUUCCUUUCCAUGUAGGGACAUAGGUCUGACUCUAAGACUUGUACAACUCAUUGAGGUUGCAUUUUGAUUUCAUCUUUUGCUAACAGCAACUGUGAUAGUAGACUGGAUAAUGGCCACCUGAAAAUGUUCCCACCCUAAUCCUUGAAACCUGUGAAUCGGGCACCGGUUGAGCGGCUGAGCGUCUGCCUUGGGAUCAGGGCAUGACCCAGGGGUCCUGGGAUUGAGUCCCACAUCGGGCUCCCUGCAUGGAGCCUGCUUCUCCCUCUGCCUGUGUCUCUGCCUCUCUCUUUGUGUCUCUCAUGAAUAAAUGAAUAAAAUCUAAAAAAACCUGCGAAUAUAUUACUUUACAUGGCAAAAGGGACUUUGCAGAUGUGAUUGCAAUGGGGAGAGUGUACUAGAUUAUCCAGGUGAGUUCAAUGUAAUCACAAGGGACCUCAUAAGAGAGAGGCAAGAAAGAGAGAGGGAGGAGUAGAGAGAGGAAGGAGAGGCUGGAGGAUAUGCUUUGUAGAUGGAAGAAGUGGCCGCCGGCUGCCGUAAGGCCUCUGGAAGCUGGAAAGGCAAGGAAAUGGAUUCUCCCUUAGAGCUUCCAAAAGGAACAAAGCUCUGCUAACACAUUGAUUUUAGCCCCUAAGAACCAUUUUCAUUUUCUGACUUCCAGAACCAUAAGAUAAAUUUGUGCCAUUUUAAGAUUGCAGUAAUGUGUUACAGUGGCACUAAGAAACCAGUAAAGCAAGGUUUGGAGGUACUUACUUCACAACAGCUGGAUUAAAAGCCUUACAUCAUUAACACUCCGCUUUGCCUAAGAGGGCAAAGUAUGUCAAGUGUUUUAGAUUGUAGAAGAUCUGCAGUUGGGGGAAGAGUCUGAAAUAGGAGGAUGGGAGGAAGUGGGAGAGAGGAUGCUUCUGAUGCGGGAGCAUCAGAAACAAAAACGCAAGGGCAGAGGUUGACAUGAAGGCACGUGUAGAAGGGGGUUUUGCAAAAACCACCAGGCCUAUACCGCAGGGCCAGAGUGCGACCUGGGGCUGGAACUUGGCUGUAGUCAGGCCAUGGAGCUGGACCUCGGCAGUGAGGAGCCAUGGGAGGACCUCAAGGGGGCUGUGACACAAUUAGGCAGCGUUUUAUGAAGAAUUCCCUCCAUGGGGGGGAGGGGGAGUGUGGGAGGAGAGGGGCUGGGCCACUGCCUGACCCUAUAAUCUAGCCUGAACCAGGCCAGCAGUGGGAAGGGAGAGAGUCUCCCUGUCCUAAGGCACACAGAGCUCCACGGUCCCGUAUCCUGGCAGUUCAGUGUGGUCCCCAGACUUUGGCGGUGUCCUUCAGACCUUGCAGGGAGCCCUUAAGGUUCUUUUUUUUUUCAAGGUUAAAAUUUUUUCAUUUCAUUUUUCCACUCUCACUCUCUCACAGCACAUAGUAGAGUUUUUCAGAGGUUCCAGGUGUGAAAUCACAGCCGACUCAAUGCAAAAGCAGACCUCCUCUCUCUUUUAUUAAGUAAGACAUUAAAAAGACUUGUUUUGGAAAAUAUUAUUUCACAAAAAUGCUCUUUACACUAAUAUAUAAUGACUUGUUAUUUCUGAAUGCGUAUAUAUUUACACAUCUUGGUAUUAAUUUAUAAUAUGGUAUAUAUUGACAGGUAUAAGCCAUGUAAACAAUAGCUCUUUGAGAUCUUCACUAAUUUUUCAGGAGCAUAAAAAGUUUGUGAGACCUUGAAGUGUGAAAUCUGCGAUUGUACGCAAAUCUCUGGGCUUGUGUCUGUUUAUUUGGGAUAUAUUACUAGAUGGAGGCCUUUUAAAUCCUGGAAGAGGCGAGGCAGAUAUGGCUCUUCCCAACUGGUUGAGGAGGCUCUGUGGGAUUAAGUUGUGUGCACAAACGCACACAACUUGCACGAGUGGAAUAAGGGCUGAAAGGCAUGUGUUUCUGCCCAGGAGAGCCGGGCCUGCCGGAAGGAGGCCUGGGGAGGAGGCCUCAGGCUGCAGCCUGCCUCCAAGGGCCAGGGUGCGCUCCAGGCUGCGGCUUCCCAGCCGUGCCCAGCGCCCCCUCUAGAGGCUGGAAGUAGAAGCCACGCCAGUCUUGUUUUACCUUCCCGCUGCAGCAGCCACAUUUCUGUCCCAGGAGUUUGAAACUCCGGGCUCCCUGAUGACUCGGAGCAGGCGAUGCACAGCAAGCAGAGCUCCGUUUUCUUGUGAGGAGGCUGUGGAGUCUAGAAACACUGUGUUUCAGUGAUGAAAGGGCUGGACCUAAAUCUUCGCUCAGAUUCAGUCCGCAACUGGGGCUGCUUGAUCUCUGUGGGUUUCAGUUGCUUAGGAGGAAAUAGUCCGUAUGACCUGGCCAUAAAGAUACCCCCAGCUCCAGCAGCCUAUGGCCCUAGGUGCCCAACAUCCCCGUGGCCCAUGCCAUAGGAAGAGAUAUCAGGGAGAAGGCUCGGUUUCCUCUCAGGACUCUCCUUGCAUUCAUGGGUUUAGCUCAACCUGCAUCUGACAUUAGGAUGCAUCUGCGUGAUUACAGAGAUCACAGAUUCUGUCCUUUAGCAAAUUUAUUUUUUAUGAACUUUUCUGCAAUUGAUCCAUUUAUUAAGCAAACAAGAAUAAGCUGGCG